GAGGGAAAAGGAGCAAUCCGCUUUGAGAUGGCCUCGCGUCCGAUUAGCUAGUUGGUGAGGUAACGGCCCACCAAGGCGACGAUCGGUAGCCGGACUGAGAGGUUGAACGGCCACAUUGGGACUGAGACACGGCCCAGACUCCUACGGGAGGCAGCAGUGGGGAAUAUUGCACAAUGGGGGAAACCCUGAUGCAGCGACGCCGCGUGGAGGAAGAAGGUCUUCGGAUUGUAAACUCCUGUUGUUGAGGAAGAUAAUGACGGUACUCAACAAGGAAGUGACGGCUAACUACGUGCCAGCAGCCGCGGUAAAACGUAGGUCACAAGCGUUGUCCGGAAUUACUGGGUGUAAAGGGAGCGCAGGCGGGAAGACAAGUUGGAAGUGAAAUCUAUGGGCUCAACCCAUAAACUGCUUUCAAAACUGUUUUUCUUGAGUAGUGCAGAGGUAGGCGGAAUUCCCGGUGUAGCGGUGGAAUGCGUAGAUAUCGGGAGGAACACCAGUGGCGAAGGCGGCCUACUGGGCACCAACUGACGCUGAGGCUCGAAAGUGUGGGUAGCAAACAGGAUUAGAUACCCUGGUAGUCCACACCGUAAACGAUGAUUACUAGGUGUUGGAGGAUUGACCCCUUCAGUGCCGCAGUUAACACAAUAAGUAAUCCACCUGGGGAGUACGACCGCAAGGUUGAAACUCAAAGGAAUUGACGGGGGCCCGCACAAGCAGUGGAGUAUGUGGUUUAAUUCGACGCAACGCGAAGAACCUUACCAAGUCUUGACAUCCUGCGACGGACAUAGAAAUAUGUCUUUCCUUCGGGACGCAGAGACAGGUGGUGCAUGGUUGUCGUCAGCUCGUGUCGUGAG
RNAcentral lists this ribosomal RNA (854 nucleotides) under Faecalibacterium prausnitzii. RNAcentral describes it as "bacterial SSU rRNA". It matches the Rfam family "Bacterial small subunit ribosomal RNA", at positions 197 to 1071 of the family's 1533-position model. The record is from RNAcentral. Lineage: Bacteria; Bacillati; Bacillota; Clostridia; Eubacteriales; Oscillospiraceae.